AGAGCGAACGCUGGCGGCAGGCUUAACACAUGCAAGUCGAGCGGGCGGUAGCAAUACGUCAGCGGCAGACGGGUGAGUAACGCGUGGGAACGUACCUUUUGGUUCGGAACAACCCAGGGAAACUUGGGCUAAUACCGGAUAAGCCCUUACGGGGAAAGAUUUAUCGCCGAAAGAUCGGCCCGCGUCUGAUUAGCUAGUUGGUGAGGUAAUGGCUCACCAAGGCGACGAUCAGUAGCUGGUCUGAGAGGAUGAUCAGCCACAUUGGGACUGAGACACGGCCCAAACUCCUACGGGAGGCAGCAGUGGGGAAUAUUGGACAAUGGGCGCAAGCCUGAUCCAGCCAUGCCGCGUGAGUGAUGAAGGCCCUAGGGUUGUAAAGCUCUUUUGUGCGGAAGAUAAUGACGGUACCGCAAGAAUAAGCCCGGCUAACUUCGUGCCAGCAGCCGC
This 447-nucleotide ribosomal RNA is filed under the name uncultured bacterium. RNAcentral describes it as "SSU rRNA". It matches the Rfam family "Bacterial small subunit ribosomal RNA", at positions 26 to 518 of the family's 1533-position model. The record is from RNAcentral.